Molecule: long non-coding RNA, 2634 nt
Organism: Salvia splendens (bonfire salvia)
Lineage: Eukaryota; Viridiplantae; Streptophyta; Magnoliopsida; Lamiales; Lamiaceae
Exons: 4
Source: RefSeq, a predicted model, not a curated record
UCCAUCUCUCUCUCACCCAAAUUCCAUCCACUUCACCUCUCCAUCUUCCACUAUCACUCUCUCACUUAAAUUGCCUCCACAUCUUGUCGUUUCAUCUUUCACUCUCACUCUCAUUCUCUCUCCCUCUCCCUCUCCCUCUCCCUCUCCAUCUCCAUCUCCCUUCCAUUCCAUCAAAGGUUCUCACGGCUGAAGAAAUCGAUCGCCCUGAAGAAAUCGACCGCCGGUGACGGAGACGGUGUUGUGAUGUUCACGUUAAAUGGCGAGAAAUGCCCCCCCAAAAAAAGAGGGCGGGCGUCAUCUUCAAAGUAGGAAGCUUCUGGCUCUAAGUUUGGCUCCCCCUCCUCCAACGAAGCUCGACACAUAAUAGACGUAGAUAAGGAGACGUGGGACAUCUGCGGCUGUGGACAGAAUAUAUAUUCUACCCGAAGCUUGAAUAUACAUGGUGUGGCAUAGCAUGAAGUAGAGAAAACUUCUGAGGUUCCAUUUAAACUUGCACAGCCACAACCACAAAAUGUCGAUGUUAUGGCUGCCUCAAGCAGACUUCCAUCUGUACAGAGUGACGUCGUUGCUAAUGAGGUGGAUGUACAGUCUGGCUAAAGCACGUAAACAAUGAAGAAUGAGAGUGGUACAGAGAGAAGUUAUGAAAAAUUUGAUGGAUGUUGAGGAGCAAGCCUCACAAGAACCAAUAGUUGAUAAACAUUCAUCUGUGCAAGUUGAGGAGCAAACCCCACAAGAACCAAUAGUUGAUGCUCAUCCAACCGCCACAGAUUGAAACAGUUAGUCAUGAGGUGUGUAUCUGAUUUGACAUUAUGAAAUUAACAGUUGGUAAUAGUUGACGAGUGUAGUAACUUAAUUUGAUAUUACCCUUGUCCCACUCAAGAAGGUAAUUGAUUUUAACGAGGAGAUAUGAUAGAGAGAUUUCUUUCCAAAUAUAGAAAGUGAGACAAACUAAAAAGAAAAUAUGGACAUCUUGAGUGGGACAGUGAAAGUAUUUUUUUGUAGCAUGGUGUGGCAGCGCAUGAAGUAGAGAAAACUUCUGAGGUUCCAUUUGAACCUGCACAGCCACAACCACAGGCUGUUGAUGAUGAUGUGGCUGUUGAUGGUGAUGUGGCUGUUGAUGGUGAUGUGGCUGCCUCAAGCAGGCUUCCAUCUGUUCAUGCCGUUGGUAAUGAUGUACUGAUUGCGUAUGUUUAGGUGUCAUCCGAUGCACCAGGUAUUGGAGUAGGGAGUGGCAUGAGAACCGAGAAUGAAGUGUAAAGACCCGUUUUGAAUAAUUUGGUGAAGCACAUGAGUAUUUGUUCAUUGACAACUUGGCAAAAAACUGGGAGCAGUACCUUGAAAACUUGGCUGAAGGUGAAGCAUGACAAUAGUUCGAGGAGAACGUGGGCGGAGUUGAUGUUCAAGCUUCGCAAAACUUGGCCGGUGCAGCACCUCUAGAUGAUAACUUGGGCGGGGGCGGACCCCAAGUUGAGGAGGAGAACCUGGCUACAGCAACGAAGAACAUCAUUAGAUCAGCCGCCAAUCAGGGUAAGGAAAACUUGGGCCCAGACAAGUGCAAGACGUUUAACUCAAAUAUUGUACUUGCUCGUGAUAAGCCAAUAAUAACCAUGCUGGAGGAGAUUCUAACACAACAGCUGGAGCGCAUACAGAUCAAAGAUAAAUGGGUGAAGAACUACGAUUUCCUGGUACCUUCUGUGAUAAAGGAGAUUAUUGAUAAAGUAGCCACUGAGUCGACCUCAUGGAGAUCGUUGUGGAAUGGUGAGAUUGAAUACCAAGUAACAGGCCCUUAUGGUCAAUUUGUGGUGAACUUGUGAGCAAAGACAUGCACGUGUAGGCUUUCGCAACUCAGAGGUAUCCCAUGUGUGCAUGCAGCAGCAUAUAUCUUGAAACUCAGCGAUUCCAUCACAGAUUAUGUGUUUGAAUAUUACUCAUGGAUCCGCAUGUCCGCCCUCUACAAGCACGUCUUGUAUCCUAUCAAUGGGAAGGAAAUUGGUCUAGAUCGUCGGAAGUUGGUUUUGAACUGGAUCCCCAAACACAAAAGGAUAGCGUGGCCGCCCACGUAGGCUUAGAAGAGAACAAAAUCAGCCGGUACGAUGAUACAGGGCACAAUAGGAGAACAUGUCAAAACGAUGCUCGACCACCGACUAGUCAAAGGAGUGGAGCAACUUCUAGCCAACCGCAAUCUGGUGAGGGGCAUCUUCAAGUGGAUCAACUUCCGCACCGCGGGCUGCUCCGGUCGGUUAAGCACCAGCAGCAGAGACAGGGCAGCCUGCUCGGGGACAUCGGAAGCGGCAGAUCUAGCUCGUCCAGUAAGAAACACCAGGAGGGCUUAGAGGUGUGGCUGUCGCAGAAACGCCGAUUAAACUUGUGGGUGUCAAUAUGGGAUUUUUUUUGUGCUGUUGUGUUUCGUUUUGUGAACAUUACUUACAAUCUGGUUUUUUUGUCUUGAAAUUUACGGACUUCGAUUGGAACCUAGCAUUUUAGGUGGUUUUUUUAUUGUUUUGGGACAUGGUAUCCCCGUGGUGAUGGCAGACUAAUGAUGAUUUUUGUUGGGUUUGUUGUGUGCAUCUACUACCCAGCUUUCGUUUGUUAUAUGCACAUUAAUCUAUAUUUUAUGGUGAUAACCUUUACAUA